GCGGGAGCAAAUGUGCACAUCUCUGCCUCUUUCCCAGCAGCUGCUCUCGGGAGGACACAGCCCUGCCAUCUCCACAGCCCUCCUCUGGGCCCUCCCCAGCCCCCAGCUCCAGCCUCAGGAAGUGGAGCUGCCGAGAAUCUCUCCUCCAGCCUUGCCUCCCGCCGAGAGUGUCCUCUGCGUGAGCAUUUCCUGGCCUAAUUAAGCUGGGUAAUGAGUAGCUAAGAGGGAGGGGAUAAAAGCCCUAGGCGGCUUAGAGCGGGGACAGUUUAUGACAGGGGCGUCUGCAGCUGGUGACACUCUUUAGGAAAGUUAUUUCUCAUAACCCUGGGAAGUUGCAUGCUGUUGCCACAGCAGAGCGAGCCCCAAGGCUCCAUGCCCAACAUGAGGUUUGAACUCAUGACCCCGAGAUUGAGAGUCGAAUGCUCUACCCACUGCGACAGUCCGAUGACCCUUGACCCUUUCCAGUUUUCUAAAGAAGACCUGUUUCAGGCUACAUCCUCAGAGUCUUGUUGGCUCCAUUGCAUUCUUGGUGGCCAGAACCCAGAGCCCACAGGCACAGGGAAUUUACAGAGACCCUCGUUUCUUCACUCUCUCCCCUCUGCUGGUCUCCUAAUCUCAUCUACCCCCUUGGCCUGCUUCUCUUUCUUUUUAAUCCAGUUUUAUUGAGAUGUAAN
This 674-nucleotide long non-coding RNA is filed under the name Mustela putorius furo (domestic ferret). RNAcentral's name for it is "lncRNA (ENSMPUG00000031367.1)". The record is from RNAcentral. Lineage: Eukaryota; Metazoa; Chordata; Mammalia; Carnivora; Mustelidae.